UUAGAAUACUUGUGCCCUUUAUGGAGUUCUGAAUUCUGGUGGCUACUGGGCAAAUCCUGCUGGAGCCUGAGAGAGGCGAUCCCUCUGACAGGACGGCACUCAGAUCUUCGGGUUGUGCUGUGUGACAAAUGGUGGCAGUGGGUGGUAUGUGGAUACAGAGACCCCCUAAUUAGCAGGUCACCAAAAGAAAGUGAAUCUGCUGCUUCUGGAAUUGGGUGGGUUGUGGAGCACUGCACACUUUGUAGUUUUCCGCUGCAACCAUUUGCUGUUCUCCGCGUGACACCAGGGCCUUCCCGGGACUCUGUCUCCAAGGUUCAGAAGCUAUGACUCUGUCCCUAAUUCCAGACAACUGGAACACUGACUGGGGCAGUGUCUGAAUUCAGGAACAAAGUGUAACGAUCCCCGGUUGAACUUGGGGGGUGGGGGCAGGCGGCCUCUACAUUGCAUCUAUGAAGAUGUGUGUAGACUGAAGGGCUGACAUCAUCUUGCCUCCAUGAAACUCUGCCAAUGCUGCUGAAGAAAGUCUGAGAGAUGAGGAAGCUCACCCCACCCCCACCCCCUACUCGAGUUGUUCCUGAAGCCAGACCUGGCUUACAGUAUUCCCCUCACAUGGGCUGACCAUUUCCCCGUUUCCUGACCCAGCGCACUGGGUUACAAGUCCCUGCGGCUUACUGCUGGGGGAAGGUGGACAAGAGCCAUUGCUUGUUCAGGCCUCCUGCACACUGCCCACUUCUCUAGGAGAUUCAAAUUCUUGUCAUUACUCCUCACAACAGCUCCAGGAGGGCGUGCAAUGCAAACGCUGUCUCCACGUUAAAGAAUGACAAGGCCUAGCAAGCCUCUGUGUCCACUGUGCACAGUCAAACACAGCCGCAGGCCCAAGGUUUAGAGGUGGGGCUUUAUUGGCUGUCAGACUUCCAAGGGAUCCAACCUUUUGGGUCACUGAGGCCACUAUACGGCCCAAACUAGAGACUCUGACACGGAGGCUAGGGAGCUGGAGAAAACUGGUGGUGAUCCUUUCUAGCUCUGGAUAGCAGCUGGACCUGAGCGUCAGGAGGUCAUGGGGUAGACAUUUGGCAGGUCUUACACACACAGUCUCUGAGUCCAAACCCUGGGACGUUUCUUGUUUUCUGGAGACACGGUCUCACUAUGGGACUCUGGCUGGUUUGGAACUUGAUGUGUAGACCAGGCUGCUCUUGAACUCACAGAGCUCUCUGCCUGCCUCUGCUUCUCUAGUGCUGUAAUUAAAGGCAUGUGCUAUCAUAACCAGCUAAACCUUGGGUUUCGUUUCAGAAUAACACCAUGAUAGUAGUUUCUUUUCAUCAAGAUUAUCCAGUUCCCACUAGGAACGCUCAAUUGUAAAUUUGAAUUCAACUCUUUGGAAGAAUAUGCUAACAGCCAACAGUUUUCAAAAGUCCACUUCCUCUAACAAGGCUACACCUCCUGAUCUUUGCAGUCCUUCCAAAGAGCAACUAAGCAUCCAACUGUAUUCAAACAUAUGAGCCCACGGGGUCAUAAAUGUGGCCAGGCUGCCACAUUUAUGAAAUGUUAAAGCCUAUAAUUUCUUCAGUGCAACGCAAUUCACCAAGACAAUGUGAAAGCUUAGUGUUACACAGCCAAGACAACACUACAAUCAAAGCCAAGGCGGGAAGCAACGAAAGAUGUGCACUUUGGACUUGGUGUGUUGAAGCAAGGUCCCACGGUGUAGCGUAGGCUAGCCAAAAACUCGAAAACUCUCCUGCCCAGGACUCCCAUGUGCUGAGAUCCCAGGUGUGCCCCAAUACACUCUGCUCGAGCCAUACACAUCUUAGUGUCACACAUUCAACUCUUCUAACUCUCGAGCCCAGUGAGGAAGCCUUAGAGGCGGGAGAACAUUUUAGUUUUUAGUAAGGCGGAAACACUUGAAAUCCCAUUUCACAUGUAAUUCCCUCACAUUCUCCCUCGUCCCAAGCAGCAGAGUAUUUUGUGAUACGUUGGGAAGCUCCACUACCCGUUAAAAAAAAAAAGUACUGAUUCAUACAAAAUGUACUGGCACCAAUCUCCACACAGUGAUUGUGCAGCUGACACACUCAGAGGCUACGCAUGUGCCAGGCCUGCGUAAGCAUUUGCACACAUCUUCACAGUACCUCAUCCUUUCAUGGUCACUAAACAGUGCCUAUUUCAUGGUGGACACCAGUUUCCAUGGGUGCCGUCCGGGCUGCUGAACACCCACCACAGUUGUCUGCUAAUUUAAACACUUCAUUGCACACCUUUCACGUCCUGCUUUGCGGAUGUCUUGGUGCCUCUUCCAGAUCCACCGGACUCAGAGCCAUGUUGGGAGACUUGGAUGUUCGAGACGUAACCUGAGACGUCUCUGCAGAGCGUGCACUCUGCCUGUAAGCCCCAUCUGCAUGGGGCAGUUUAUCCCCAUGAUGCCUGCAGUACUCUAUCAACCACGGCCUCCUCACUCAGCCCCACCCAUCCUUGAUUUUACCCCCACCAAGGUCAGAAUCCACCUGUAGCAUUUUAUGGGAACACUUCCCUUCUGGAUAAUCAUGAUGACCUGUUCCUGGUCAGGUGCCCUAGUUGGAGAUGUCCCUGUAGUUGGUUCCCUCUCAGCAGAACUUGCUCGGGGCAGUUACAACCUGGGCUAGUUAAUAAGUCAGCUGGCUAGUUUGGGAGGAUCUGAUUCACUCCACCGCCACAAAGGGAUUCAACUAAUCUCUUUUAGCUCCAGCAAACAGCUCUAAAGGGUGCCUUUAGAGUCCAGGGGCGGAGGCCCUGGAAUGUGGCCACGUGGAUGUGGCUUGGGGGAAAAAAAAGCACAGGUUUUAACCUGCACCUGUAAGAGACUCAAGACUUGAACGCUAUGUUCCCCACCAGCCUGCUCUUGGCUCUGCUCUCCAGUCAUAACAGGACAACACUGGUGGGAGGGAGGGAGGACAAGACGUCCACUCAGACCUCGGCCCACUCUGGGGGAAAGGACUGUCUCUGUGUCAUAACUUGAAUUACUCAAAUCCCGUCUUCCUCUCCCGUUAGCCAUCAAUGUUGUCACACAGGUACAAAGCUUCUUUGCACACCAUCUUCUGUGGACUAUUUUUGGGUCCCCAAAUUACUCUGUUUACCUCAACCAGAAACACUUGUCUCCGGAGCCUGAGCGCUGGACUGUGGUGAGGUGAGGUGAGGUGCCUGGCCCAUCCCCUCUGCUUGCCCCUGUGUUUAGUUUGUAGCCUCCAACCUGGUAUCUGCUUAGAAGCCCCCUGAGCAGUAGACCCAGGGGCUAUGGCUGCUGGUGUGCCUUAGCCACUGGGGGACCUGGAGAUCAAAGGCCAGAGCAUGUUUCCCCUGCUUCCUCUGAUAACGGCUCUCUCUUGGUGGCACUAAGUCCCACUGGGAGUUCUAGAAUUCUGUCAAUUGCCCCCAACCUGCAGAAGGAGAUUCAGAGAAGAGCCCUGGGCAGCAGUUGAGGUGUACUGAUACAGUUGCACAGGAGCCUGUGGGGACUGAGACAAUUGUGUUUUUAAAGACUUUUUUUUUAAAGUAGCCCAUAUUCUCAGCUACAAAGGUUCAUUUUCAUAAAAAUGUCUUUCCCUCUUAAAUUGGCCUAUAAACAACACGAUCCCAAUAAAAAUAGCAAAAGAGUUUUAAAAUUUGGAAUCUAGUCGACACCUAAGUUUAUAGGGGAGAUUAAACAUGAGGCACAGCCAGAGGACAGUAUCUAAAAGAGGCCCAGAGUCAUGGUGCAGCCUGGAAUUCUAGCACUUUGGAACGUAGGGAGGAAGUUCCUGGGCCCCUGGACUCAUGCCUAGUACAAGCUCUGUGCUGUGCUGCCUCCCCCAAAUCACCCUAAACAACAGAGCUAAGUGACAAAGUGACAUGAAUUAAGAUGUCUAAAAUGAUGAGCAAAAGAACGGGCUGUGGCAUGGCUCUGCAGGCAGAGGCUCUUGGCCCUAAGAUCUGGGUUUGAGCCCCAGAACUCACAAGGCAGAAGGAGAGAACUGACUACUGCAGGCUGUCCUCUGAACUCCACAAGUGUGGAGGCCACACAAAAAGAAUGAUGAAUGGUUUGAUAUUCAUAUAUAAACAAUCAUUAUGCAGUUUAAAUGUAUAUUUACACAUACUAUGUAUUCACUUAUAACUACAAUAAACUAUCCAUUUAUACAAUU
RNAcentral lists this long non-coding RNA (4142 nucleotides) under Mus musculus (house mouse). RNAcentral's name for it is "long non-coding RNA chr1:182494155-182498297". Lineage: Eukaryota; Metazoa; Chordata; Mammalia; Rodentia; Muridae. The record is from RNAcentral.